This 421-nucleotide ribosomal RNA is filed under the name uncultured fungus. RNAcentral describes it as "partial small subunit ribosomal RNA". It matches the Rfam family "Eukaryotic small subunit ribosomal RNA", at positions 30 to 432 of the family's 1831-position model. The record is from RNAcentral. Lineage: Eukaryota; Fungi.
GCUUGUCUCAAAGAUUAAGCCAUGCAUGUCUAAGUACAAGCCGCUAGUUCGGCGAAACCGCGAAUGGCUCAAUAAAUCAGUUAUGGUUCCUUAGAUCCACUCCAUCCUACUUGGAUAACUGUGGUAAUUCUAGAGCUAAUACAUGCACUCGAGCCUCGACCGAGGCCCCGGCAACGGGGUCGCGGAAGAGGUGCUUUUAUUAGAUAAAAAACCAAUGCCCUUCGGGGCUCUUUGGUGAUUCAUGAUAACUUAACGGAUCGCAUGGCCUUGCGCCGGCGACGGUUCAUUCAAAUUUCUGCCCUAUCAACUUUCGAUGGUAAGGUAUUGGCUUACCAUGGUUUCAACGGGUAACGGGGAAUUAGGGUUCGAUUCCGGAGAGGGAGCCUGAGAAACGGCUACCACAUCCAAGGAAGGCAGCAGG